CCAGAAUGUUGACAACAUCCACUCCUGAAACAAGUCUUAAUUUUGAAAUCUAUGCAAUAUCUUCUGCUGCUGGAGGCUUUUAUGUAUUAACCUUAACAGAAGGCUGAAGGGCUGAAAUGAAAUCUUGGCACACGUACAAGAUUCAGAGCGUUGCAUGUCUUGCAGUUCAGGUUUGGCUUGUCUGCUUUUCAGCUCUUCUAGACAUUGGAAAUUCCAGUUUGUGUUUAUUUUCUCUGGAUUCCUUCCCACAAGACAGAAGUGAAUUCAGCAUGGAUUAUUGGGGAGAGCCUUGGCUGGGAAUAAGGAUAAUUGCAGCCUCUGGCUGUGCCACAGUUUCACUGAUGAUUUCUUUUAAGUUACUCACCUGCACUGUAUCUGUUUCCUCAGCUGUAAAAUGUGGGUAAUUACCUCCAUUGUAAAAUGUUACAGGGUCUGCUGGUAAUUAUAUGAACGAAGUGCUAAUUACAGUGAUUAUCCCUUGGACCUAGUCUAGAUCUGGCUGAUGUUCCUGUUGCGAUGAACAUAUGAAACAAAUACUACAACUUGCUUUUCUCCAUUCUUUGCGAGGGGCCUGGGAGGUGCCGUGUCACAGGAUGUGUUCCCAGUGAGAAGCUCUGCUGCCCUGUCACCCAGAUCCCUCUGCUCAUUUCUCGUUCCCCUCCACCCUCGUGUGUUACACGGCUGUGGGCUGAGGAAUUACUGAUUCAGUAGUUGGAGCCACAUAUGAUCUGAUAGCCAGGGUUUAUGCUGUGGCUUUGCUUUUCCUCUUGGGGAUAUGUGAAGGCAGCAGCCAGGGAACUGCUCCCGAGGUACCACUUGGGUUGGGGCCAGUCUGUGCUGCCUAGUGGCCUCUUAUUCCUUAAGAAGUUCUGACCUUGAUGCCAGGAGAGGUGUCCUUCCAGCUGUGGAGAUUAUUUCCCUCCUGUAAAAGCCUACAGCUUCAAGACUUUAUUAUCAAACAUUUUAUUUGCCUUUCUCCGUUUAUUUAGGACACACUUUCUUUGUAGCUGGGAAUAGCUCUACUAUCCCCUGAGCAGGGCUGGGUAGUGGAGGAAGAACUGAUAUUCUUCAAGGUAGAAAUGGAGUGUUCUCAUCCAGAAAAUCCUCCUGCUGCUGCUGGGAAUGUGCUGUAGUUUUUGUUGGUAGUAAUAAGUCACACUGUAUAUCCAGGUAAUGAUGAGAGUCUCCUCUCCUAUGCAAUCCCUGCCUUCCCUGGUCACAGACCUCAUGGC
Molecule: long non-coding RNA, 1232 nt
Organism: Geospiza fortis (medium ground-finch)
Lineage: Eukaryota; Metazoa; Chordata; Aves; Passeriformes; Thraupidae
Source: Ensembl